This 84-nucleotide transfer RNA is filed under the name Deltaproteobacteria bacterium. Its description in RNAcentral is "tRNA-Leu". The record is from RNAcentral. Lineage: Bacteria; Pseudomonadati; Myxococcota; Myxococcia.
GCCCUGGUGCUGGAACUGGUAGACAGGCAUGAUUCAGGGUCAUGUAUUCGCAAGAGUGUGGGAGUUCAAGUCUCCCCCAGGGCA